CCCCGUGCACCUUUACUACAGCUUUGCAGUGGCAUCAGAAUGUGAAUGUGUAGGAUAGGCGGGAGGCUUUGAAGCGAGGGCGCCAGUUCUCGUGGAGCCACCCUUGAAAUACCGCCCUUUGACGUUUUGAUGUCUAACCGCGGCCCGUGAUCCGGGUCCGGGACCCUGCAUGGCGGGUAGUUUGACUGGGGCGGGCGCCUCCUAAAAGGGAAAGGAG
Molecule: ribosomal RNA, 217 nt
Filed under: uncultured Pelagophyceae
Lineage: Eukaryota; Pelagophyceae
Description: partial Bacterial large subunit ribosomal RNA
Rfam family: Bacterial large subunit ribosomal RNA
Source: RNAcentral